Molecule: ribosomal RNA, 301 nt
Filed under: uncultured bacterium
Lineage: Bacteria
Description: partial 16S ribosomal RNA
Rfam family: Bacterial small subunit ribosomal RNA
Source: RNAcentral
CAGUAGCCGCGGUAAUACGAAGGGUGCAAGCGUUAAUCGGAAUUACUGGGCGUAAAGCGUGCGUAGGCGGUGAGUUAAGUCUGCUGUGAAAUCCCCGGGCUCAACCUGGGAAUGGCAGUGGAUACUGGCUCGCUAGAGUGUGUCAGAGGAUGGUGGAAUUCCCGGUGUAGCGGUGAAAUGCGUAGAGAUCGGGAGGAACAUCAGUGGCGAAGGCGGCCAUCUGGGACAACACUGACGCUGAGGCACGAAAGCGUGGGGAGCAAACAGGAUUAGAUACCCGGGUAGUCCCUGUCUCUUAUAC